This 724-nucleotide unclassified non-coding RNA is filed under the name Hevea brasiliensis (rubber tree). The record is from RNAcentral. Lineage: Eukaryota; Viridiplantae; Streptophyta; Magnoliopsida; Malpighiales; Euphorbiaceae.
AGAGAGAGAGAGAGAGAGAGACGUUUAAGCUGAAAUUGAAAAUAUAAUGGUUAGCUUUCAGAAGUAAUUUAAUAUGUUCGGUGAGAAAAAUGCACUCCUUCAAAUCAAAAUUUUAAGCAGAAAAAAACAAAUAAAAAAUCUAGGUUUAUCUUUUGCCUAGUACUUCAAUUUUACAAACAUAUGAAUAUAACUAUAUAAUAUGUUUAACUUUUGCCCCAAUUUCACAGCAUUUUUAAAAGACGAUAUAAUAAUCACUAUCACCAUCCAACUUAUUUUCCAUUGAUGUGUAGUCUGAUAGGGAUGAUGGUGUAUUCUAGAGAAUCAAGAAAGUGCCGGAAGAUGUGGACAGCUCAGCUCCAUUCUGUUAAGAGUGAUUCCCAGAUGCAUGUGAUGCAGCUGCUAGGAGAGUUAUAUAUAGGAAGAGAAAGGGUCGAGUUGGGGGCAUGAAUUGAAUAAUUUGUAUUUUCCAGUUUUUUUAAGCUUGGGGGCAACUAGUAUAGUUGCUGGGGUGUGAGUGAGAGAAUUCUCUGGAUUGUAUUUCCAGGAUUUCUUCUAAUUCCACCUGUAAAUUGGGUUAUUGAAUAAACAACGUCUCCCUACUGCUAUUUUCCAUCUUUGCUGCAUUUGAUCUCCUUUUCUUUUAUUUUGACUCCUUACUCUAUCAAAAUCAAACUUUGAUGAUUAAAGAGAAGAAUGGAUACCUUUAAACGUCCAGCCAGCUCAU